This 902-nucleotide long non-coding RNA is filed under the name Olea europaea subsp. europaea. The record is from RNAcentral. Lineage: Eukaryota; Viridiplantae; Streptophyta; Magnoliopsida; Lamiales; Oleaceae.
AUGUGACAUAGUAAUGUUGAAAUAUCUACAUAGCCUUGAUAAGAGGCUUAUAGCACAUCAUAUGGUGGUUACGAUCAUUGAGUAUGAGAUUGUGUAACCUAUUGACAUCGAUUUUCAUUUAUGAGCAUUUUCAUAUGCAUGCACGACAUGUAACAUGGUUGAAAAUACUGCAUGCAAAAUAUGAUUUCAAAGUGAGUCUCAUUAUAAAUGUUUUAUUGACCACUACUAGGGCACCGAGGCAUGUGAGGCAUGCUUAUGUGAUAUGUUUGGCAUUGCGGGUGUUACUUCCUGGGUGAUUGCAAAGGUAGAUAGGGGAUGGGCCUUUGGUGAUCACGGGAGGGCGGACCACUCGACUAUGCCCUUGUUAUGAUUAUUGGCGCUGUCGGGUGGGAGACUUCUUGGGUGAUCAUAGGGGUUGUUAGGGGAUGGGCCUCUAGUGGUCAUGAGAGGAUGGUCCACUCGCCGGUGUCGAUUUCAUAUUGGCCACUUGAUUAUUGAUAUUGAUAUUAUGCAGAGCUCUAUCCGGUGCAUAGUAGGUGGGUCAAGGGCCCAAUGAAAUGAAAGAUUUCAAGUGAAAUGAUUUCUAGUCGACUUUGACGAAUAUUGAAAUAUGAUAUUUUUAUCGUGAUAUUUAAAGUAAAUGGCAUGGUGUCAUAUGUUGUUAUUACUCAUGUUCAGGACAUGCAUGAUUUUGCUUACUAAGCAUUGGCUUAUGUAGUUCUUGCAUUGUAGGUGAACAUGGAACUACAUAGAGAGCAUGGCUAGCUGUGGAGCUCCUACAGGAUUCCAGAGUUCGAUGUACAUGGAUGACGACCUGUAGGGUUAUUUUGUAGGCUACCAUCUGUUGGGUUAUAUUUUGGAAUCCUAUAUAGUGUACUUUUGAAAUGGCCUGUAGACAUGUU